ACAUGCACCCCGAUGUGUAUACGGUCUCACAACACACGAAUACACGACUGUACAAACACAUGCCCAGCAUGUGGCAUCCAAAGAGUGUUAAAUGGUGUUACCAUCGGGUUCUGGGCGGGAGCCACGUCCUGGACUCUGCAGACAUCCUCACUUGGUGGGGGACUUCUAGAUCCAGCUACAGGGUAGGAGAUUAGGAGGAGGGUUACAGAAGGGUGAGUGGAGGCUGCUGUCUCUGUGAAUCCCUCUAGUAGAUGGUCUGGGGAUCCAAGGAUCCCUGGGGCCUGGGAAAGCUACGCUGGGUCCAUUCCUCGGGAAGGGGGACAUCCUGGAGGGAACUCUCACCCAGAGACUGCAAACCUCUGGGCAUGGAGAGUUGGGAGCCCCAGGUUCACGGGGCAUCUGGUUGUCAUUGAGCCCGCAGCUGGGGCCGGACUGAUGAUGAGGACAGGAAGACAAUAGAGUGGCAGCAGCGAUGGUCCUUAACAGGUGCGCAACACUUUGCAGUUUAUAAGCCACUUUGACACUUGUAAUUUCACACACUUGGUAACAGCUACUCUGAGAUAUUGGUGGUGCUGUCCCAUCUCUGCGACACAGGCAGGAGAGGGGACUUGAAGACCACACAGCAAGUUCCUGGCUGAGCUGGAACCAGAGCCCAAGGACGUGCCAGCACCCAGCUCUACCUACGAGCCUUCCACUUGGCCGGACUGCAGAAACUGGAAAGCAGACCACUGGGGCUUGCCUGGGUCCCUGCCUCGCUCUGUGAUAUUGGGGAGUAGCCAAGCGGUCCAUCUCUCCACCUGGAAAGCUGAGUGAAUCCCAGGGGUGUAUUCACCCAGCAAUUUGUGGCCACAGGGCUAGGGAGCGGUGGUUGCCAGGGGCCCUCAAGAAUGCCAGCGCAAGGACGAAGGGCACCAGUCGCUCCCCUCCGCCCUUGGCUAGCCACCAUCUCUCUCCAGCCACCACCCCACAACCCCCGCGCACCGUUCGCUCCGUGGCUCCGGUUCUUCGAUCCGGCCUCCAGGUCUUCGCUGACGCCUCGUCACUCGGGAGACGCGGCGAGCGGCUUGCCGUUGCCUUGGGAACCUCGCAGCAGCCCAGGCGCGCGGAGCACGACUCGGAGCGCAGGGCACUCGGCCUGCCCUGCUCGCAGAGUGGUCUUUGGUGUCUCAGAAAGAUAUCUGUCGCCAGCGGCGAAGGGAGGCCGCGUCGCAAGGUUUUGUCCUUCAGGCAAGCUCCUACUCAUCCUGCAAAACCCACUGGGGCAUCGUCUGAAGCCUUCCUAAUUGAAAUCCUCCUCUCCACUCUCUGCCAACCCAGGGUAACUACUCCCAUCUGUGCUAUAUUUAAUGCAUGCACAGACACCACCUCCCACAGUGCCCCAAGGGCUCCUCGAGGCUGCCUCUAGGUUCAACCUGUAAGGCACCGGCACACAGCUGGUAUUCUACAAAUGUGCUUGGAUCUGACAGUGGAGGAGAGGGUUGGCACGUUGGUUUCCUGCUGUGCAAAAACUGGACUACACUUGCCCUGCUGCAUGUCCCUCAAAAGAUAAUGGGGAGGGGGGUGCUUCCCGAACACCUGGGGCAGAACCGCAGGAAGAGAAUGGCUGCCCUCAGCCCAGGUUAGGGAAUGGACUUGACCGUGCCCCCGGAGUGGGACCUCGGGCUGCCUGGGAAGAGUUCUUUCCUUCCACAAGGGAGCAUCCACUCGUGUAUGCGUGUAAGGAAGCCACAGCGGCCCCUACUGACCUGCAGGGAGUCCCAGGAGCAGGGACCUAUAGCUCCCCAUUCUUUCCAGGGCCCUGCCCAGCGAAAGACAGCCAAUUAGGCGGUGAAGUAUCCUCAGGAUAGUGGUUCUCACUUUACGUCCACACUCUCCUUCCACACAGAAUUUGAGGCAAUUGGCAGAAUAUUCAAUAGGGCGGUGAAGUGUAACAAUGAGCUAGGACCAGGAAGGAAAAGAGAUUACUAUACACAUUUUUUUUCCCCUAUAAUUGAGUUACUCCCCCGUUCUCUCUCCUUUGAUUUUGAAUAUACAAUUUGCUUUGUUAAUGAGGAAAAAAGAACCCUUGCCCUUCCAGCUGAAGGAAAUUUCCCUCUUGGCUUCCCCCCAAUGUCAUUCCUACAGCAGACACAUUUGGGGUGUCGGGAAAGUGAGGCUCACAGGGACGAGGGAAGUGUCCAGAACCACCUAGCAUCAGGGACAGAGAGUGUCUGAUGGUGCAGGUGGCCAAAGUGCUGGCAUGGGCGAGGGCUGAGGGUUUUAAAUGAGCUCAUGAUUUUCCCUGUUCUCCACAGGGAGCUUUGAAAAAUGCUCCACCUUAAAGAUGGGGUAGGUAUGAGAAAGGCAGGGCUCGUUACUAAGAACAGAGUGGUAGAACUUUGGGGAGAGGGGUCUAUGUGACCCAGGGGAGCAAGAGACAAGUUUGAGCCUCAGUUUCCUCAUCUGUAAAAUGGGGGUGAUGAUGGGGCGCCUGGGUGGCUCAGUCGGUUAAGUAGCCAACUCUUGAUUUUGGCUCAGGUCAUGGUCUCAGGGUUGUGAGAAUGAGCCCCGAGUUGGGCUCCUCGUUCAGCAUGGAAUCUGCUUGAAAUUUUCUCUCUCCCUCUGCCCCCUCCAGUGCUUGUGGGCUCUCUCUCUCUCUCUCUAAAAUCAAUCAAUCAAUCUUUUUAAAAUGGGGGUGAUGAGCUCUCUGUCUUGAGACAGAGAGAGUAUUGGUUUCCUGGGGAGACUGGAAAGACUAGAUGCCAGGAGGACCAGGUCACUAGUUGGCAAUACUUUCCUCUUUAUUAUCCCCAUUAAAGAUGGGAAAGCUGAGGCCCAAGGGGAGGACUUGGCAGGCUCAAGGCCACUGUGGCAGGCCCAGGACAAGAUCUUGGCCCUGGGGCCACCCAGCCUGGGUUCUCUCCCUUCCACCACCAUGGCUCUCAGACCUUCCCUGGCCUUGGUCAGUUCUCCUGGGGGGGGGCAGUGCUGGAGAAAGAGAGGGAAAAGGAGACUUCUAGCCUUGUUCCAGCCCCUCCUGGCAGUUGGGACUGCUUCUCAGGAGGACAGAUGUUUCACCAAAUGGCAAAUGCACGUGCUUUUCCCUGGCUUGGGGAGGAGGUGGGCGCUGAGAAGGAGAUGCCAGCUGGUAGGGCCGAGAACCGUAGCCACACCUGAGGGGUUUAAAUAGCCACCGCCUUCUCUGGGCGACGCUGGAAGAGAGGCAUCUGGGCAGGACUGGGAGGGGGGAAGCAGGGAACAGACAGAGCAGCCCAUUGAGAAUCUGUCACAGCCCCGACAUGAGUGCCUGGCUCCUCCUCCCAGAGAGACUUGGCCCACGCACCUCACCUCCCUGGACCUCCAUAGCUGUCACCUGCCAAGUGAGGACAGAAAGCCUACUUGGGAGGGUGCCUGCCGAGGCUGAAUGGAGAGAGCUCACUAGCGUGCCUGACCCAUGCAUGGCACCCAGUCACUGUACUUGUUGGCUGUUGUCAUCCCAAUCUCCCUGCCAGGGCAGGGGCCCCCACUGCGGCAUCUUUGACAAAUGGGCACCCACCCCUGCUCACCCACCCACCUCUGGUACCAGAGAUCAUCUCCCACAGUGACCUACAGAGUAAUGUAUUCAUUUGUUUGCAUAAACCCUGGGGGUGCCCGGCUGGCUCAGUCGGAGGAGUAUGCAAUGCUUAAUCCUGGGGUUGUGAGUUCGAGCCCCACAUUGGGUGUAGAGAUUACUUUAAAAUAAAAUCGUUUAAAAAACGCACUAAUUGCGUAAACCCUGGAGUCAGACUGUGUGUUGGAAUCUAGGCUCCACUACUUAGUGUCUGCGUGACUUUAAGCAAAUGACUUAACCUCUCGGUGCCUCAGUUUCCCCAGUGUAAAGUGGGAAUAAUAGCGGUACCUCCCUCAUAGUGUCGUUUAGAUCAGUGCCUCUCAAACUUCCACGUGCCCAAGAAUCAGCCGGCGAUCUUCUUGAACUGCAGAUUGGAAGUCAGUGGGUGUGAGGUGGGGCUCGGGAUCCUGCAUUCCCAGCAGGUGAGACAGAUGCCACUGGCCUCGGACCACAUGCUGAGUCUCAGAGGACUGACUUGCCCUGGGAGUCAUGGUGAGGGGGCCAUGGGAGGUGACGGGUAGGGGAGUGACAGAUUCCAUCAUAGCAAAGCCUCUCUGGCUGUGGUGGGCAUGGGGGUGGGAGGAGGCCAGUGUUUAGGAAGAGAUGAAGGGCCUGCGUGGGACAAGGGCCCACUGGGGUCAAUAGGAGGGUGGUAAUAAGGGCCCUU
This 4256-nucleotide long non-coding RNA is filed under the name Ailuropoda melanoleuca (giant panda). RNAcentral's name for it is "lncRNA (ENSAMEG00000028766.1)". The record is from RNAcentral. Lineage: Eukaryota; Metazoa; Chordata; Mammalia; Carnivora; Ursidae.